GUUUGGUAUAUGAGUUUAAGUUUACUUCCUAUAUUCCUGUUUGAAAGAUGAAAAUUGCCAACAUCUGCAUGCAAUAGGUGGGUUGUAGAUAGGUGUUUUGGUUCUAGUUUACUUCGACAGAUCCGAUCUUUAACAAGAGAGCACAAUUUGUAGAUCCGCUUCUUGUUAUUUUGUGUGUGACCUGUUUUUGGUUUUUCUUAGUGCUAGUUUGUUGUGAUCUGUGUUAGUCUCGCAGGUAUCUAGAUUUUUUGAUGCAUAAUGUGAGGAGAAACUAUGGUGGUGGAUUGUGAGGUGUAGACUAGGAGGCUGGCCUGGAAGGCGCGAGUGGGAGGCUAGAAAACACCAUUAAAGUUUUGUCUUUUAAGUUUAUGAUUUUAUUGCAUCCACCCGAAGAUAUGAAGGUUCGACUUCUGGUUGGUAUGCCUGGGGUCUCUUAGGAUUUGUCUAUGAUGAGAAGAUCCUCUGAGCAUGGUCAAGUACCAAUACCUUGCAUAGGUGCCAUUUUUGCUUUGAUAACGCAUUUUCUGUGCUUCUCUGUGUGUUAAGUUAUAUUCCGAGGGCUGAAAGGUUGGCUUAGAGAUGGUGCGACGCUGUAAGUUUUUGCACAAGGUUUUGCCAGGUCGUGGUUAGUCGAGUCGAACCACUCAAUGUUGCCCUAGGUUUGAUUUAGGCUCUGGCUUUCUUAUGAAUUUUGGGUAUAUUUGAUCAGUUGAUGUGGAAUUUUCUUGUAUUUGGCCCAAGG
Molecule: unclassified non-coding RNA, 742 nt
Filed under: Hevea brasiliensis (rubber tree)
Lineage: Eukaryota; Viridiplantae; Streptophyta; Magnoliopsida; Malpighiales; Euphorbiaceae
Source: RNAcentral